UACGUAGGGGGCAAGCGUUGUCCGGAUUUAUUGGGCGUAAAGAGCUCGUAGGCGGUUUGUCGCGUCUGCUGUGAAAACCCGAGGCUCAACCUCGGGCCUGCAGUGGGUACGGGCAGACUAGAGUGCGGUAGGGGAGAUUGGAAUUCCUGGUGUAGCGGUGGAAUGCGCAGAUAUCAGGAGGAACACCGAUGGCGAAGGCAGAUCUCUGGGCCGUAACUGACGCUGAGGAGCGAAAGCAUGGGGAGCGAACAGG
This 253-nucleotide ribosomal RNA is filed under the name uncultured bacterium. RNAcentral's name for it is "partial 16S ribosomal RNA". It matches the Rfam family "Bacterial small subunit ribosomal RNA", at positions 524 to 776 of the family's 1533-position model. The record is from RNAcentral.